This 72-nucleotide transfer RNA is filed under the name Camelus bactrianus (Bactrian camel). It matches the Rfam family "tRNA". Rfam says of the family: Transfer RNA (tRNA) molecules are approximately 80 nucleotides in length. Lineage: Eukaryota; Metazoa; Chordata; Mammalia; Artiodactyla; Camelidae. The record is from Rfam by way of RNAcentral. RNAcentral also lists the same sequence under 1 other name.
GAGGGUAUAGCUCAGUAGUAGAGAACAUACCUAGCAUGCCUGAGGUCCUGGGUUCAAUUCCUAGUACCAACA